RNAcentral lists this ribosomal RNA (253 nucleotides) under uncultured bacterium. RNAcentral describes it as "partial 16S ribosomal RNA". It matches the Rfam family "Bacterial small subunit ribosomal RNA", at positions 524 to 776 of the family's 1533-position model. The record is from RNAcentral.
UACAGAGGUCCCAAGCGUUGUUCGGAUUCACUGGGCGUAAAGGGUGCGUAGGCGGUCGGGUAAGUCUGAUGUGAAAUCUCACAGCUUAACUGUGAAACUGCAUUGGAUACUAUUCGGCUUGAGAGUUGGAGGGGGGACUGGAAUUCUUGGUGUAGCAGUGAAAUGCGUAGAUAUCGGGAAGAACACCCGUGGCGAAGGCGGCUCUCUGGGACGGUACUGACGCUGAGACGCGAAAGCGUGGGGAGCGAACAGG